CCUGGGCCUAUUUAUCUAUGUAUUUUUAACAACUUUUCACUAAGGACGAAUGGGUGUAAAUGGUUGGUUGUUCUCCCUGCAUUGAUGUUUGCGUUACCGGUACACUUGCCUAGAGCAUAUUAACAAAGGAUGAGCUGCCUAACACUGCAUCAAAUGACUGCAUCUCACUUAGCAAGAUAUGUGUAUAAGGUGACAUAUGUUGGCCUUCUGCAAAAUUUGCCAAGACAACAUGUUUCCACAGCCUCGUUUGCACAUUAUAUUUCAAUCCAUAAACGACAUUUGAGCAGCAAUGACAACGGGGCUUCUCGCAUUGUGAGGAGCCGUUAUUCACUAUGGAAACCAGACAAUAUCCCGAAGGAAUUUAAACUUGCUUAUGUGAAGAAAGCAGUUAAUGACACAAAAAUAGCAGCCUUGGCAUAUGUUUGGCAUAUCAAUCUUGCUGUUAUAAUUUUAGUGGCUGUAAUGGUGUGCAAAGCAUGGAUGGCUGAAAUUAUGCUAGGAGAAGAAUCAACAGAUGAAAAUGAACCCUUCAAAAUUACAUCAGCAGAUUUAGUUUUAAAUACAUUUGCUGUAGCCUGUGCUGCUACUUUUUUAUUUUUCGUAUACAGAAAGUUUAUUAAGAGUAACAUUGUACGAAUGUAUUGUCAUAUACAGUCAAAAACCUUUGUUAUGGUACAGGUGAAAAAUGGUCUUGCUAAGGAGAACAUCCCCUUUACUGCAAAGCAUGUACACCUUGUGAAAGAAGUUGUUCCGACAAAGGCUGGGGAAUCGAAAUACAUGAUUUUGCAAAUAAUGGGACAUGCACUUAAAGUAAAUGAAAAGGAAUUUACAGAUGAACAAUAUUACCACAUUCUAAAAGGAAAAUAGUUAUUGGAAUAUACAUGUUAUUUGUACAUGAGAUGAUAACAUAACUCGAGAUCAAUAAAUUUGAAAUGGUAACUUAUUGUUUCUGCUCUUUAUCUUAAAGCUCAAGAACUAAACUAUUGUGAAUGAAUUUUUAAUUGACAUUUUCUCGAAUGAUCAUCAUCAUAUUUCCCUUGAUCAGUUCGGCUAUUGGGAGGAAAUGAGGGACGACAAUACAGAAAUCCUCAAGUCCGGUUUAUUGUGUACUGUUGAGAGUAAUUCAUCCAUGGGUCAUCCAUGGGUUCAACCAUCGGAAGGUUAGUCCACUCUUUUACAUUGACCAUCCAACUUUUUUUCUGGCGACCUCUAUGUCCGCUUCCCUCUAGCGUGCCCUGGAGAACAGUCUUAGACAGAAAGUUGAACCUUGUAACGUGUCAAAACCAAGCCAGCUUUCGUCGUUUGACGGUCGCCAAUAGAGGCUCUUGUGGACCUACAAGUUUUGCAGACAUGUUCCGGACGUACUCGUUGGUCUUGUGCUCUGUGUAGGAGAUUCGGAGCUGUCUUCAGAGACAUUUAUGUUGUGUAUCCUGCGUUUUGUGUCGACAUGAAGCGUUUAGGUUUUGCCGCUGCAGAGGAGGAUAGCGACUACGAACUGCUUGUCCACAACCUGCUCAGUCUGGACAUCGCUGUGUUCACCUUGGCAUUUCUUAUUUAGACAUCAGGAGUACUGGUACCAUCCUUGGACAGGGUUGCGCCUAAGUACUUGAAGCUGAUCACUCCUAGCUGUUCACCGUUAAUUGUGAUGUAUGCACUGGUGAUGGUCGUGCUGUUCACCAUGAUCUUUAUCUUGUCCGUGCUGACCUCAAUCUGGUAUGCUCCUGCUCUUUCAUAGAUGAAGAUAGAGCUGUGGUAGUCAUGGAGAGUCUCCUGCAGUAUCUACUCAUGAAAAAGAUUGAACAGGACAGUAGAGAGAAUACAUCCCUGACAUUCUGCAGUUUAAUAUCUGUUCCACUUUGCUCCGCCCAGCCAUAAAUCCAGCCUGUUCUUCGUCCUGCAGUUUCUCAGCCCUACUUUUCAAUCGAUUAAGGAUGAUGCGUUACAUGACUUUGCUUGGAUGACUGAUAAGGCUGAUAAGGGUUAUUCUCGCACAACUUGAGAUUGCCCAUUUUAGGUAGGGUUAUAACCGGUGACUGUGUCCGCUCCUUGGGCCUCUUUCUUUUUCAGCUCGGAAGGAACGUUGUUCACUCCUGGUGAUUUGGUUGCUUAAAGACUACGCACCGCCUCCUUCCCCUCUACUUUAAGUAUGGACGGACUUUCGUCGUCCGCUUUUGGUGUGGGAUCGUUCGAAGGAGAAUGAAGUCUGGCUGUAGCGGGAAGUGCUAGAGGUCACUGCAGUAUUCAGUCCACCAGUUCAGGACUGUGGCACUCUCUGUAAGGAGAUUCCUGUCAGCGUCUGAUAUCACACUGGCUUUAGACUGGCUGAAUGGUCUUCGUGAGGGUCUUGAGGAUGCUGUAGGCCUUCUUACUGCUGCCUGUGGUCAUCUGUUUGUCGACGAUGAUACAUUUUUCCUCAAUCCAUACCUCAUUGGUCUCUUUCAUCUUCUUCCUUAACUCCCUGUUCGCUUUCUGGUAAUUUUCCCUAGAGUCCAGGCAGGUGUACUUAUCAUUAAUCAGCUCACUUCUUUUGUCAUAUAGGUCAAUGAUUUUGGUUGUCACCCAGGACUUGCUCUUUCUUCUUUCUCCCAACACGUCUUCGGUCGAUUACAGUAUGACAACCUUGAUGUUGUUGGUAAUGGCAUCAAUAUAAUUGUCUAAGAUGUUAAGGGCUCUGCAAACUUGCCGUAAAUUCCGCGAAUACGUGAACAUGUUGAUUAACUGCAGAGGUUACACAAGCUGCUGCAUAUACGAGGGGUGACACAGUUAUACUUAGACUUAUAUAUUAUUUAAUUUUGGACAAAAUGAUUAUCUUGACAAUGACUUAUCAUGUUUAUAUUCGGGUCAAAUGGGGCCUAAAACUAGAUCUCCGGGGCAAUUAUAGAAAACCUUAUACAAGCGGUGUUUUUCUUGUUUGUUAUUUUAUUAGGGUAACACUAAGUAGUCUGAAUAUUUGCCUUGACCAUGCUAUCUAUUCCAGGUUUUAAACUAUUUCACGUGACGUCAAGAACGAGUUCUAACAUGUCGAAAUUGUGAAGUGUCAUACCUUUGUUUAAUCUUUUUGCACGUGGAAAUGAAGAAACUUGAUUUUAUUUCAAUUUGAUCAAUCUAGGUGGGUUCUUACACCAGAUUGUUUUUUAAUUCAAAUAACAAUAUGACUGCUAUGGAUAUUGAGUAGCGCAACCGGCUAAUAAUCAUUUUACAGGACAUUCGAUCAUUUAGACGUUACACCAUAUCCACGUGCAUACAGAUGAAACCAUAACAAACCCACGUGCUUAAGCGCCAGAUCGUCAUAGAUCAAUUAUUUUAUCGUGACCUUGAACAUAAUGUAGUCAAAGGAUCACAGGUGCAAUUUUAGCUCUAUAAUCAUGGCCGAGAUGUUCCUUUUUACAUUUGUUGAGAGGUACAUAACCGUUGCCUGUUGGGUUUAUGAGACCGUUUUGAGUAAGGUACGUUCUGUUAAUCGUACAUCCGGUCGGCAAGAGUCCUUCACAGUAAAUACAUGUUGUCCGUGUCGCAUUUUUUAAAAUUAUUAGUCUAAUUAUUGCAAAGGUAUAUGUUAGACGAUACCGUGUUAUAAUAUUACUGAUGCAACAAUAAAAAACGACAUUUUCAAAUACGCCUGUGUGGUCGUAAAGAAUGAUUCAACUAGCGAAGCUUCAACAGACCUGUCUACUCUCAAAUGUGACAAAAUAUUUGCACACAAGCUCUGCAGUAGUUCACCGACAGACGUGGACGGUCUCUCAUAGGUGUGUUCCAUCACAGACUAGAGGUGUAUGGAAGAUCUCUCCAUGGUGUGUUCCAUCACAGACUAGAGGUGUGACUUUCAAGACGGGCCUGGAGAGCUCCUUCAAAUCACAGCACAAACGAGACGGAGUCUCCAAAGACUUUGUCCUAGUAUUCUCUAAGACUAACCAAAACUAUUACACAAUUGGAAUACCGUGUGUAUGGAUUCUAGGUGGGGUUUUCCUCGCUGGCGCUGGAUAUGCAAUUCAGAAUAUCCUUGAUACUGACCCUAUCCAACGAGAAAGUGUUUCCAUUAAUAAUAGUGGACCAAUUGACCCUCUGGAAACUAUAUGUGUGUUCUCUGUUUUUACUCUUACAUUUUUGGUUGGUUUGGCAAAAAUUUCUAAGAGCAUGGUGUUGCGGAUGUACUACAAGGAAGACAUAAAUAAGUUCAUCGCUGUUGUGUUGCGAUAUGGUAUUUUUCGCAGAAAAAUAAACUUCAGUCCAGCAGAGAUAAAACAUAAGAAACUACAGAAAUUUAGUGGGAUAUAUGAAGUGAAGGGACAACAAUUUAAUGCUCUGCAAAAUGAAUUUUUAAAUGUUAGGUAUUUCAAUAUAUUUACUGGAGUUAUUGUUCAAGAUCAGUCACAUUAUAGAAACACCUCUGGAAACAAAGUUAUGAAAAGCUGAUAAUUCUAAAUGAAUUUCAUUACCGUACGUUGUUAAUUUUAAUGACCAAAUAUUGUUGUUACUAUUAACCAAAUAAUAGUUUUGUCAAUUAAAUUGUCUUAUAUUUCAUGUGAGAUUUAAAGCAUAACUUGAUUCAGGUUAUUAUUAAGAUACAUGUAUAUUUCUGAAAAAGCAUAGAUUUUUAAAUAUUGAAGAAAGCAA
This is a long non-coding RNA of Dreissena polymorpha, 4614 nucleotides long. RefSeq lists it as uncharacterized. Lineage: Eukaryota; Metazoa; Mollusca; Bivalvia; Myida; Dreissenidae. The record is from RefSeq and is a predicted model, not a curated record. The transcript is spliced from 5 exons.